ACCUCCUAACUGAUGCUUUUUCAGAUAUUUUACACUUAUUUUGAGUUUUUCCAGAAAAUAUUAUUCAUCUCCCUGCUUGGCCAAAGUAAUAUGUAAGGUAUCUGCUUUCAUUUGAAAGAGGAAGUAGGAAGUGUAGUUUAAGGGCAUUCACUUAAGCUAUCAGUAAUGGUAUAAAAAUAGAAAUAGGUUUUUUUUCUUUACAAGUUUAUUCACUAGUUCUUCAUUGUAGGUAAUAAUAAAAAAAAAAAAAACAACACCUUUGGGUAGAGUGAAAUAUACUGACAUUUCACUUCUGCUCGUAUUCACUUCAGGUACCCCAAUCCAGACAAAAUAGACAUCCUGUCAUGCUGUUGUAUUGAAAAGUACUGUACAGGCAGUAAAUUACACUUCAGUAGCUCUAACAGUUUUUUUCCGGACUAAGUUAACCACUUCUGUCCUAAAAAUUACAUAACUGGAAAUUGCAAUAAAAGAAUAUUUACUCUUAGCUGAAACUCUAGUAUUAUGUCACAAUGGAACAUACUCUAGUGGCCAAUGAUUAACUAGAUCAGACAGUUCACCUCUAAUUUAAUCUCUCUGACAGAGCAAGCUCAAAUUUUCCCUUGCCUGCCUUUAUCUAGACAUCUGAAACAAGUUCCAUGCCAGGUUAGAGUCCACUCUGGCCACGCAGGCUCCCCGUGAGCCUCCCUGGUGAGAGGUUAGUGGUGCCCAUUACCCUGUCUGCAAAACCACAGCCUGGGCUUAAUCAUCUCAGGAUAACCACAGCUGCUUUUGUGUGAGAGUGACCAAAACCACCAAAGAGCUCAGGAGAGCAAAUAUGGAAUGUGGCACAGGGAAGACCUGUAUGGACAGCACAUGAGACAAACCCUCUGUUACUGCAAAGAGGAAAUGUACAGGUGAUUGAGUACAACCAAACCGCAAAGAACUAAGAGAGUUCAUCUAUGGAUGGCAUCUCGAAGAUCUUUUCCACAGAAGGAAGUCUAAUUUGUUCAGUUUACAAAUAAUACAGAACUUGUGACAUUUCCUUUGAUCCUGACAUAUAUCUAUUCUAAGCACAGAAGACUUCAAAUAUUAGAAAGGAGUGAACAACCUGCUUUAGGGAACACACCUGUCUUACAGGAUGCAAACCAAGCUGAACCAAGUUCACUUUCUGUAGAACUGAAGCCCCACCUGGAGCAUUAAAAAGAGAAUGUUGUCAGAUUUUAGAACCAAUUCAGAACACAUUUUUUAGCUACAGAAAAACAGGUUUGAUUUUUUUUCAAUUAUUUAGACUAAACAGACAUCAUAGUGUUAAUCCUCAAAAUCUCAGUUACAAUUUCAUCUGUUUUGCAAUAUUACAGUACUAUCCAGACUAGCUGAUUAGUAAACUUCUGCACUGCAAACAGUA
Molecule: long non-coding RNA, 1384 nt
Organism: Corapipo altera (White-ruffed manakin)
Lineage: Eukaryota; Metazoa; Chordata; Aves; Passeriformes; Pipridae
Exons: 2
Source: RefSeq, a predicted model, not a curated record